Molecule: non-coding RNA, 583 nt
Organism: Oryctolagus cuniculus (rabbit)
Lineage: Eukaryota; Metazoa; Chordata; Mammalia; Lagomorpha; Leporidae
Source: RefSeq, a predicted model, not a curated record
UGUAGGUGCUGCGGCGCGGCCAGGGCGGCCCGGCCCUUACACGGCGCGGAGCGAACCGAGCGACCUCGGCGCUCGGGCCGGAUCCCACGGCCUGUGCGGGUCCGGGCGCCAGGACCCUGGGAAGCCCCUCUGCGCCGUCUGGGACCGUCACGCGUCGGUAUUCCCCCCGCACAGAACCUGUCCAGGCACCGGUAACGGUGUUCGCCAGUGCUCCCUGUGUCUGUCGCUGCCCAGGACCUACGCGACGUUAGCCCUGUAGGAUCCUGUACUGCCAGACCCUCCGACCCGGACAACACUGGAUAGCUACACGUCAGAGUUCCGACUCACAGGGCUGGGUUCUCCCUAGGUUCCCGGCGCCCCCGUGACCCCGGGGCUCACCUGUCACACACAGGUCCCUCAAGGUCCCCCAGUGCUCACCUGUCAACACUGUGCCUGAGUCCCCAGGUCUCACCUGUCACACACUGGUCCCUGUGUCCUCAGGUCUCACCUGCCACACACUGGUCCCUGUGCCCCCCAGGUCUCACCUGUCACACAGUGGUCCUGUGUCCCCGUGCUCACCUGUCAUACACUGGUCCCUGAGUCC